AAUAAAGUAAGCUAAAUUUUUAAGCUAGUGGGUUCAUACCCCAAAUAUGAAUAUAAUCCUUUAUUA
RNAcentral lists this transfer RNA (66 nucleotides) under Quadristernoseta cf. longigynium XFX-2019. RNAcentral's name for it is "tRNA-Met". The record is from RNAcentral. Lineage: Eukaryota; Metazoa; Arthropoda; Arachnida; Mesostigmata; Diplogyniidae.